GGAAAAAAAACAGAACAAAAAAUAAAUAAAUAAAAUCACGAAAGUGGUCACAAAGAAUAAAGAUUUUCUGGUGAGGGCACACAUGAUAACAAUGUCUUGUUAUCAAUCUUACAUGUGUAUAGAUUAUUGAUCUUACCAUAGAAGUCUUAUAUUACUGUAGAUUGUUGUGAUUUUCAUUUAGAAGUGUUGGCCUCUCACUGUCUGUGUUAAAACUUUUGACUGCUGUGUUGAAGACUCACACUGAUAACAGCCCUCCGCCCUUUGGAGAAAUCGCUCCCAAGGGAAAAGACGAAAUGACCUUGUGUGUGUAGAACUUGCUGAUAACUUGUCUCUUCUGUCUAUCCCUCCCUUCUCUGAAAAUAAAAGACGAGCUCUAACUGGAAGUUAUCAGAACGCGCAGUGGGCAGCUUGCUGGAGCGGUUCGCCACUUCUUCUCCUUUCAUGAAAGCUUGGCAGAAAGGACGCGCUGAAAACCUUCAAUGGCCAGAGUCAACAAGACUUGGAAACAAAGACCCGGGAGGCAAAAUUCUUCACUGGACAGCGCCUAUGUCUGACUUUGUCUGCCAAUGGCGGAUUGACGAGAUCCAACCGGACAAUACGAACCGACAGGAACUGCGUCUGACCUCUGACCUCAACUCAGACCUGUCCUGCAAUAGAUCAGAUGACGUCCUUUCCUCAUCAUCAGCCAAUGACAGCGAUGAAGAAGCCAAAAAAGGACAAGGACGAUUUCUACCACCGGGGCACUGACAGCACUGAAGUGUCCGCUGAUCCGAAUUCCCUGACAUGGGAACUUCAUAAAUCAUGAAGUAUUUGUCUGCAUUUAACUCAAACAUUUAAUUUAGAAUUUAUUUCUGUAAAGAAUCUACAGAUUGAUUGAAAUUGGUUUUGUGUUUCUGUUUAUGUCACUUUUCAUGUUGGUAUGAAUGAAUGUUAUUAUGAGAACAGACAAACUGUACUCAAGAAUUGAGUAACGGAUGAGAUUAUUAACCAUUUCAUUUUAAAACUCACAUUGUCAGCUGAUCUGAAAUGCAAGGUUGAAUACAAUUCUGAUAUUUUAAGCAACCCUAGUAGAUGUAAAUAGUUACUCAAAACUGAUGAUUGUAAAUAAAAGCAACAUCUUCUAGACUUCAGUAAAACCUGUAAUCUAGAUUUGAUUGAUUGAUGAUCAUAAAAUUUGUAAAGAAAUAUUGAAUUAGAGGAUUUGAGAUUUGGUUAAAUUCAGGGAAUUGGAAUUGGAAAAACACAUGUGGAUAACUGAAGGGGCAACAGUGAAUAAUGAUACAAUUUUUCAGGUAAAAUAAAAUGAAAAAAAAAAAACCUGUUCUACAGAAAUCCCGGUUUGAAGCAGCAGAAAUUUUGACACAAGAAUAUUAGCAGAUUAUAUGAUCAGGACUCUUAAAGAGAAGGAAGUGUCCAGUGCAAAUGUACUACCUUCUGAUUCUCUUCCUUUGCAGGAGACCACUCCCAUCGAGCCAGGGGACUGGGUCUACAUUAAAGUCAUCAAACGAAAACUGGGCCAGUCCCACAGUGGGAAGGGCCGCUCCAGGUGCUGAUGACCACACCAACAGCUGUAAAGAUUGCUGAAAGACCCAGCUGGAUACAUCUCAGUCACUGCAAGCUGCAGAGAGUGUUGGAGCACUAAUUCAGGGUAGCGGGGAAGAGCUACAAAGGGGUUCCAAACCAAUAGGGUGGUUCGUCUCAACGCUUGUGAAGAAAUCCUUUAGUGAGGAUCCCUUUAACAGGAACUGGUGGAACUAUUUCUGACGCUCCACAUGAGCUGGAGGAACUUUACGUGGAAAGUGAAACGCAUGGAUCACAUUCUUUUAACUUUCUUUCUUGGCUCACGUCUGGAACCUGGUGAUCCUUUUUUUGCCUGUUCACAACUUGCAUCAUUCCAUGCCUUCAAAGCAUGAUGCAAAAGACAUUUAACACCACUGUGAUCAGCUAUCAGCUGGUGAGAACAACCUGUGACACACGAGUUUGACUUGUUCCAUAUGGAUAAGAUGCGCUGAAAAGUGGAUUAUAUGACGAUGUUCUGUAAUCAAUAAACAGAUUAAAUAAUUUGCUGAAUGAUUCCUACACUGAGAAUGUGAAAACAAGUGGUGUUAGUGAUGAUAGAAAUAACUGCAUUUGGUUUUCUGCUAUUUCUUUUAUAUCUUAUAUUUUUCUAUUAUACAUUUAUAUGUCUUUUAUGGUGUUUUCCGUUUCUUGGACUAGAAAAAAAUAUAUAUAUAUUGCAUUCUUAUUGUUCCUUUUCUAUUCUUUUCGUAGAUUUCGAAUAGUUUAUGCAUGAGUAAAAAUGAUAAAGAGGAGGGAAUGUUGGAAAUAUUAUGUUAUCAUUCUUACAUGUGUAUAGAUUAUUGGUCUUACCAUAGCAGUCUUCUAUUACUAUAGAUUACUGUGAUUUUACUUUAGAAGUGUUGGCCUCUAACUGUCUGUGUUAAAACUUUUGACUGCUGUGUUGAAGACUCUCAAACCAAUAGCAGCCCUCCGCCCUUUGGAGAAAUUGCCCCCAAGGGAAAAGACGAAAUGACCUUGUGUGUAGAACUUGCUGAUAACUUGUCUCUUCUGUCUAUCCCUCCCUUCUCUGAAAAUAAAAGACGAGCUCUAACUGGAA
Molecule: non-coding RNA, 2617 nt
Organism: Poecilia reticulata (guppy)
Lineage: Eukaryota; Metazoa; Chordata; Actinopteri; Cyprinodontiformes; Poeciliidae
Source: RefSeq, a predicted model, not a curated record